This 372-nucleotide ribosomal RNA is filed under the name uncultured organism. RNAcentral describes it as "bacterial SSU rRNA". It matches the Rfam family "Bacterial small subunit ribosomal RNA", at positions 527 to 896 of the family's 1533-position model. The record is from RNAcentral.
CGGGGGAGCAAGCGUUGUCGGAUUUACUGGGCGUAAAGGGCGCGUAGGCGGCCACCGCAAGUCGACUGUGAAAUCUCCGGGCUUAACCCGGAAAGGUCAGCCGAUACUGCGGGGCUAGAGUGCAGAAGGGGCAACUGGAAUUCUCGGUGUAGCGGUGAAAUGCGUAGAUAUCGAGAGGAACACCUGCGGCGAAGGCGGGUUGCUGGGCUGACACUGACGCUGAGGCGCGAAAGCUAGGGGAGCGAACGGGAUUAGAUACCCCGGUAGUCCUAGCCUUAAACGAUGAAUGCUUGGUGUCUGGGGUUUUAUAGUCCCCGGGUGCCGUCGCUAACGCUUUAAGCAUUCCGCCUGGGGAGUACGGUCGCAAGACUG